Molecule: ribosomal RNA, 1626 nt
Organism: Enterococcus sulfureus ATCC 49903
Lineage: Bacteria; Bacillati; Bacillota; Bacilli; Lactobacillales; Enterococcaceae
Rfam family: Bacterial large subunit ribosomal RNA
Source: Rfam
GGUUAAGUGAAUAAGGGCGCACGGUGGAUGCCUUGGCACUAGGAGCCGAUGAAGGACGGGACUAACACCGAUAUGCUUUGGGGAGCUGUAAGUAAGCUAUGAUCCAGAGAUUUCCGAAUGGGGGAACCCAGCAUCUUUUAUAGGAUGUUACUUUUCAGUGAAUACAUAGCUGAUUAGAGGUAGACGCAGAGAACUGAAACAUCUAAGUACCUGCAGGAAGAGAAAGAAAAUUCGAUUCCCUGAGUAGCGGCGAGCGAAACGGGAAAAGCCCAAACCAAGAUGCUUGCAUCUUGGGGUUGUAGGACUCCAAUAUGGUAGUACGAUCAGAUAGUCGAAUGACUUGGAAAAGUCAGUCAAAGAGGGUAAAAACCCCGUAGACGAAAUUUGGUAUGCACCUAGGAGGAUCCUGAGUACGGCGGAACACGAGAAAUUCCGUCGGAAUCCGGGAGGACCAUCUCCCAAGGCUAAAUACUCCCUAGUGACCGAUAGUGAACCAGUACCGUGAGGGAAAGGUGAAAAGCACCCCGGAAGGGGAGUGAAAUAGAUCCUGAAACCGUGUGCCUACAACAAGUCAAAGCCCGUUAAUGGGUGAUGGCGUGCCUUUUGUAGAAUGAACCGGCGAGUUACGAUUGCAUGCGAGGUUAAGCUGAAGAGGCGGAGCCGUAGCGAAAGCGAGUCUGAAUAGGGCGUUUUAGUAUGUAGUCGUAGACCCGAAACCAUGUGAUCUACCCAUGUCCAGGUUGAAGGUGCGGUAAAACGCACUGGAGGACCGAACCCACGUACGUUGAAAAGUGCGGGGAUGAGGUGUGGGUAGCGGAGAAAUUCCAAUCGAACUUGGAGAUAGCUGGUUCUCUCCGAAAUAGCUUUAGGGCUAGCCUCGGAUUUAAGAAUGAUGGAGGUAGAGCACUGUUUGGACUAGGGGCCCAUCUCGGGUUACCGAAUUCAGAUAAACUCCGAAUGCCAUUCAUUUAUAUCCGGGAGUCAGACUGUGAGUGAUAAGAUCCAUAGUCGAAAGGGAAACAGCCCAGACCACCAGCUAAGGUCCCAAAAUAUAUGUUAAGUGGAAAAGGAUGUGGGGUUGCACAGACAACUAGGAUGUUGGCUCAGAAGCAGCCACCAUUUAAAGAGUGCGUAAUAGCUCACUAGUCGAGUGACCCUGCGCCGAAAAUGUACCGGGGCUAAACAUAUUACCGAAGCUGUGGAGUGUACCUUUGGUACACUGGUAGGAGAGCGUUCUAAGGGCGUUGAAGGUAGACCGUGAGGACUGCUGGAGCGCUUAGAAGUGAGAAUGCCGGUAUGAGUAGCGAAAGACAGGUGAGAAUCCUGUCCACCGAAUGACUAAGGUUUCCUGGGGAAGGCUCGUCCGCCCAGGGUUAGUCGGGACCUAAGCCGAGGCCGACAGGCGUAGGCGAUGGACAACAGGUUGAUAUUCCUGUACUCGUUGUUUUUGUUUGAGCAAUGGAGGGACGCAGGAGGCUAAGGAAUGCAGACGAUCGGAAAUGUCUGUCCAAGCAACAAGUCUUAGUGAGAGUCAAAUGCUUUCACUUUCAAGGACAAGUUGUGAUGGGGAGGGAAAUAAUAGUACCGAAGUUCCUGAUGUCACACUGCCAAGAAAAGCUUCUAGUG